Molecule: long non-coding RNA, 945 nt
Organism: Lolium rigidum
Lineage: Eukaryota; Viridiplantae; Streptophyta; Magnoliopsida; Poales; Poaceae
Exons: 3
Source: RefSeq, a predicted model, not a curated record
CCACGGUCCCUUCAGCUGGGCCUGUUAGCAAUGUAAAGGAUACUGAAACGAUGGUUUCUUCAGCUGGCCGUGUCAGCGUUGUAAAAAAGACUGAAGCUCCAGUUCCUUCAGCUGGUCCUGCCAACAUUGUAAAGAAGAGAGGAAACUACGGUUCUUUCACCUGCGCCUGCCAAGUAUAUAAAAAUCAUCGAGGGUAUAUAUUGGCAUGUCAAACAAGAAUGUAAAGAAGACUGAAACUGAUGUUCACUCACCUGGUCAUGUUAACAUUGUAGAGAAGACUGAAUCCUAUCAAGAAUAUUAGAAGUUCAACACCACUUGGCAUGCCAUGGUUAUACCAUGAUGGGAUCAAGUGCACACACAACAACUGUUCAUCUAUGCGUGUAACUGAUAAUGAGAGCACAAAUGUUGAUGAUGUAUUAUUUAAACAACAAACUCUAUCCUAACAAGCCAUUGGUUCCCACAGUUUGAAAAAUACAUGAAAUAUAUGUUUCCAGAAUGUUACUCCCUCCUAAUAUAAGACGUUUUGUCAGGCCAAUUUUGCUAGCCAAAAUGUCUUAUAUUAGUGAAGAGAGGAAGUACUUUGUAGGCUUUCCAUGAUUGCCUUUUGUUCAGAUUGUAUGACUUGAGGACUUGGAGUAUACCCAAGGUUGGUCACCCUACUUUGAGUACGUUCUUUGAGCUCAUCUCUCAAUCUGAUGUGUUUGAUGAGUCUAGCCACCCUACUGGCUAGAAUAUCUGCUCUGCCAAGGUUUGGUGUAAAAGGCUGGUUUUUGGAAUCGCUAUUUCAGCCGCUAGCAAUGUGACACUACAUUGCUGGAUGAUUUUUUUUUUCGUGCCCACAUUCUAGGUUUCAUUUAGUUGGUAUUCAGGAUAUUCAAUUACUCCAUUGAACCAAUAUACAGAUCACGUUGGCGCAUGUCAAGUAAAUCAAGUUUGCAAUCUUUA